RNAcentral lists this long non-coding RNA (250 nucleotides) under Capsella rubella. RNAcentral describes it as "long non-coding RNA (CRUB_LNC002518)". The record is from RNAcentral. Lineage: Eukaryota; Viridiplantae; Streptophyta; Magnoliopsida; Brassicales; Brassicaceae.
UUUGUGAGAGAUUGAAUCUAGAGAGCUUUGUAAGGGGCUUUAAGGGUGAGAGAUCUCUUUGUAAACUCUGUGAAUAGUGGAUUCCGGGAGACAGAUCCCGGCCCAGACGUAGCGUCGGUUUGACGUGAACUGGGUUAACAAUCUCUUGUGUGCUCUGCUUGUGAUUCUCUGUUUGUUGUUUCUUUGAUCUAUUGGUGUUGUUUGUGGUGUUGGUUGAAGUUUCAUUUCAGGUUUUCAAGCUCAGUUUUCU